This 253-nucleotide ribosomal RNA is filed under the name uncultured bacterium. RNAcentral's name for it is "partial 16S ribosomal RNA". It matches the Rfam family "Bacterial small subunit ribosomal RNA", at positions 524 to 776 of the family's 1533-position model. The record is from RNAcentral.
UACGAAGGGGGCUAGCGGUGUUCGGAAUCACUGGGCGUAAAGCGCACGUAGGCGGAUUGUUAAGUCAGGGGUGAAAUCCCGAGGCUCAACCUCGGAACUGCCUUUGAUACUGGCGAUCUAGAGUCCGGGAGAGGUGAGUGGAACUGCGAGUGUAGAGGUGAAAUUCGUAGAGAUUCGCAAGAACACCAGUGGCGAAGGCGGCUCACUGGCCCGGAACUGACGAUGAGGUGCGAAAGAGUGGGGAGCAAACAGG